GUCAGUGUGAGAGUACGUUUCUCGGCCCGCUCUCGCCGCCUCUGUUGUCGCGUCCCUGAACGCCCAGGGAGAGAAAACGGCGAUUUCUUCUUAUCUCUUCAUUCGCUUUCGUGGAGGGGAAGUUUAAACCAAACAAGUGAGGAAAAGAGAGAAAGGAAAGAAGAAAGGAAGGAAUAAAUUAACAAACAGCUUCCCAGAAUUAUAAAAAAACGACAUAAAAAGAAAGACAGAAUUAUGAGUUGAUAUUGUUUGGAUGGCCGAACGAACGAUACAACGAACCUAAAUACAUUAAUGCCAAAAUAUUUGUAAAUAUUUGUGUAAAUAUAUAUAAACAAUAGAAACGCAUACCAUAUUAUAUAUAUAAUAAUAUCUAUCAACAAAAACACCUCUAAAAUGCUAGUAACAGGAAUGAUGGAAGCAGACAGAAACAUUUUGCGCUCGUAUCCCCAAGGCCACCAGAAGAACCAGGAAACAGACAGAAGAAAAUAUAAAUCUCACGCAAGCAGCAGACACUUGUCUAUGCGAACGGUCGUGUCUGCCGUCUGCCUGUGCUUCCUUGCGUGGCUGACAACCGUAGAAGGCUGCCGAACAGCCACUAAGCGCUUCGUCGGAUCCCCCUUGGAACCUUUGCUGCAUUUCUACCUCCCACCCGUUCCUCCCUUCACCCCCACCGUCCUCCCCCCCGUCAGGCUACGG
Penaeus chinensis is the source of this 696-nucleotide long non-coding RNA. RefSeq lists it as uncharacterized. The transcript is spliced from 3 exons. Lineage: Eukaryota; Metazoa; Arthropoda; Malacostraca; Decapoda; Penaeidae. The record is from RefSeq and is a predicted model, not a curated record.